GCUGGCGGCAGGCUUAACACAUGCAAGUCGAGCGGGCGUAGCAAUACGUCAGCGGCAGACGGGUGAGUAACGCGUGGGAACGUACCUUUUGGUUCGGAACAACACAGGGAAACUUGUGCUAAUACCGGAUAAGCCCUUACGGGGAAAGAUUUAUCGCCGAAAGAUCGGCCCGCGUCUGAUUAGCUAGUUGGUGAGGUAACGGCUCACCAAGGCGACGAUCAGUAGCUGGUCUGAGAGGAUGAUCAGCCACAUUGGGACUGAGACACGGCCCAAACUCCUACGGGAGGCAGCAGUGGGGAAUAUUGGACAAUGGGCGCAAGCCUGAUCCAGCCAUGCCGCGUGAGUGAUGAAGGCCCUAGGGUUGUAAAGCUCUUUUGUGCGGGAAGAUGAUGACGGUACCGCAAGAAUAAGCCCCGGCUAACUUCGUGCCAGCAGCCGCGGUAAUACGAAGGGGGCUAGCGUUGCUCGGAAUCACUGGGCGUAAAGGGUGCGUAGGCGGGUCUUUAAGUCAGGGGUGAAAUCCUGGAGCUCAACUCCAGAACUGCCUUUGAUACUGAGGAUCUUGAGUUCGGGAGAGGUGAGUGGAACUGC
RNAcentral lists this ribosomal RNA (591 nucleotides) under uncultured soil bacterium. RNAcentral describes it as "bacterial SSU rRNA". It matches the Rfam family "Bacterial small subunit ribosomal RNA", at positions 35 to 670 of the family's 1533-position model. The record is from RNAcentral.